ACUACUCAGGUCUAUCCUCUUUGCUCGGGGUCGCGGGGUAGUUAUAGGUGGUGUUUCGAUCGGUUUUCUUGAUGGCAAAAGUGGGGGAAUGGUACUUGUGUGAGUCUAUAGGUGUACAUACGUAAAUACGCGCGCUAAACAUACGAUUGAAUUAAAAUGGCAAAUAAUUAUUUAUUUAUCGAUCUUGGUGAUUGGAUCCUGAAAAUCUUUUAAAACAUAUAAGCAGUGGGUUCCACAGAAAGUGAAAGUAUUUGCUAUGAAUGUCAUCCAUGAAAACUGCAAGCUGAUUGCCACGUUUCUAGUUGAAUGCUGGUGGGCAGGUUUGGAAUAUCAGUGGAAAUUCCUUGCUGAUUAUUUCUAUCAAAAAACGACGCAUUAUCCCAGGAGCAUGACUGAAGGGAAAUAAUUUGACCGAAUUUAUAAUUGUACAUCUAGUUUCCCUGGCAUAAUGAACUAAUUGUAUAUAUUUUAUUCAAUAAUUGAUUGUAUAUAUUCUCUCUGAGAAUCUAUUGUAUAUAUUGGACUUAAUUGGAAUUAAUUGUACAUCUUAAUUUUUGGACUUCACGAUGGAGGACAUAACUGAUUCCAAAUUCUGUUUUGGAGAUUUGCUGAAAAAUUUGAAAAUGGUCAAGAGACCAUCUAAUUGGGCAGCAGUGAAGCAUGACGAUUGUGUAUUAUUCGUCGAAAUAUUGGAAAAUGGAGAACAACGGAAGAAAAUAAUCAUAUACAAUUCACUUAAUGCUGAAAUUCUGUACAAUAACGAUGUUCUCUCGUGGUUGACAUGUGAUAUAAUCAAAUCUCUCGAUCAUCUGGCUAUAAUCAUCGAAUUGUUAAACAGAUUACGAUUUUAAUCCAAUUAUUUCGACUGGUGGAAUUGUCUAGCUUUUACAACGCAAUGUAUGGAAUAAAUAAAGAUUUUAAAAAUGGA
Diachasma alloeum is the source of this 928-nucleotide long non-coding RNA. RefSeq lists it as uncharacterized. NCBI's taxonomy places the organism in Eukaryota, Metazoa, Arthropoda, Insecta, Hymenoptera, Braconidae. The transcript has 2 exons. The record is from RefSeq and is a predicted model, not a curated record.